GACGAACGCUGGCGGCGUGCUUAACACAUGCAAGUCGAACGGAAAGGCCCUGCUUUUGUGGGGUGCUCGAGUGGCGAACGGGUGAGUAACACGUGAGUAACCUGCCCUUGACUUUGGGAUAACUUCAGGAAACUGGGGCUAAUACCGGAUAGGAGCUCCUGCUGCAUGGUGGGGGUUGGAAAGUUUCGGCGGUUGGGGAUGGACUCGCGGCUUGUCAGCUUGUUGGUGGGGUAGUGGCUUACCAAGGCUUUGACGGGUAGCCGGCCUGAGAGGGUGACCGGCCACAUUGGGACUGAGAUGCGGCCCAGACUCCUACGGGAGGCAGCAGUGGGGAAUAUUGCACAAUGGGCGGAAGCCUGAUGCAGCAACGCCGCGUGCGGGAUGACGGCCUUCGGGUUGUAAACCGCUUUCGCCUGUGACGAAGCGUGAGUGACGGUAAUGGGUAAAGAAGCACCGGCUAACUACGUG
Molecule: ribosomal RNA, 468 nt
Filed under: uncultured bacterium
Lineage: Bacteria
Description: partial 16S ribosomal RNA
Rfam family: Bacterial small subunit ribosomal RNA
Source: RNAcentral